UACGGAGGGUGCUAGCGUUGUUCGGAAUUACUGGGCGUAAAGGGCGCGUAGGCGGCCCGCUAAGUCGAACGUGAAAUCCCCGAGCUCAACUCGGGAACUGCGUCCGAUACUGGUGGGCUUGAAUCCGGGAGAGGGAUGCGGAAUUCCAGGUGUAGCGGUGAAAUGCGUAGAUAUCUGGAGGAACACCGGUGGCGAAGGCGGCAUCCUGGACCGGCAUUGACGCUGAGGCGCGAAAGCUAGGGGAGCAAACGGG
RNAcentral lists this ribosomal RNA (253 nucleotides) under uncultured bacterium. RNAcentral's name for it is "partial 16S ribosomal RNA". It matches the Rfam family "Bacterial small subunit ribosomal RNA", at positions 524 to 776 of the family's 1533-position model. The record is from RNAcentral.